This is a long non-coding RNA of Sapajus apella (tufted capuchin), 105 nucleotides long. RefSeq lists it as uncharacterized. The transcript has 3 exons. The record is from RefSeq and is a predicted model, not a curated record. NCBI's taxonomy places the organism in Eukaryota, Metazoa, Chordata, Mammalia, Primates, Cebidae.
UUGCCCUCACCACUAUCACGAGUUGCUGAUAAAAAUGCCCAGCAGGUCUAGCUCACCUUCAGUGAUCCUGCCAAGCUCCGAGCUCCCCAACACUGCCUGAAUCUG